Molecule: small nuclear RNA, 107 nt
Organism: Fukomys damarensis (Damara mole-rat)
Lineage: Eukaryota; Metazoa; Chordata; Mammalia; Rodentia; Bathyergidae
Source: Ensembl
AUGCUCACUUCAGCAGCACAUAUACUAAAACUGGAACAGUACAGAGAAGAUUAACAUGGCCCCUGUGCAGGGAUGACAUGACAAUUUGUGAAGCGUUCCUAUUUCUG